CGGAGGUACUGGUACUAGUAGCUUCUUCUGAGUCUUCUUCUUAUGCAAUUUUCGAUCCCUAACAGCAUUGCAGAAGGAAAUUCCAUGGAGGGUGCCCCCAAUAGGGAAGCCAGUCCCCAAAAUCCACCAUUCUCUUGUUCUUCGCUAUCCGCAAAACUUCAACCUCCGUUAUGCUCUUGCUAUCGUGAAGGUGCAUGUGUGACAGGUAAAUGUCUACUUCAAGUAAUUGCAGCACACCUAAAAUUAUCAAGAACAAAUGUAUAAAAUGCAAAGGCAACAGAAAAGUAGUGAUUAAGAUCUUAGAGACUGUCCAUAACCAAACUGACUUUUUAUAGCAUUGGGAUUUAUUAUAUUGACUCAUAUUGAAUCUAAUGGCUUACUGAAAGUUUUCACAAAAUAAAAUAAAAAAUAAAAAAUAAAAAAUAAAAAACCUUAUUGAAAACAUUGUGUGAUCUAAACCCUUCGUGGUGUCCUCUCCCCUUAAAGCUUCUUCCCCUAAUGAACAAAGACCAAUAGACACAGAAAACAGAGAAAAAGGGGGAGGUGAAGAAUGAGUUUGUAUCCAAGGAAUAGGAAAAGGUAAAACGAGUUUGAGUAGGAAAUGGGACAACAUUACCCUGGAUUGGAGCUUCAACACACUUCACAGACCAAUCGCCCUUGCACAACCAUUGUGAUGGGAUGAUCAACACAGCUCAAGGAGCUUAUCUUCAACUCUGAAAAUGCAAAACCCUGAAAACAAAAACACAACUGCUUCAACUCCAUAGCUUCAUCAUCAGAGGGUGGCACACUGAUUUGCAAUGGACUCAACGGAGGUGCAUGUCAUGACCCAAGAAUACGACAAGUACCAAAUCCGCCUGGGAGAUAGGUGGGGUGUUCCCACCAAGAAUACGGCAAGUACCAGGGGGUUUGGGAGAUCUGUAAGGAUUUGCAAACUUUAGUUCCACAUAGCCUAGAGAGAGAUUAUUGGGCUAGUUAAUAACCUCUACUCUCCUUAACAUGGCACAAUGCGUUUUAACAUCUUGAGGCCCAUGGGCUAAAGAGGACAAUAUUGUGCAAGGUUAAUUGAGUCGAGGCAUUAUAAUUGACAUCAGAGCAGACCUCGACAGUGUGUAGGGCCAUAGCAGGGACACUGUGCUGAAAGGGGGAAAGUGUGACGACCCAAGAAUACGACAUGUACCAAACCCGCCUGAGAAAUUGGUGAGGUGUCCCCACCAAGAAUACGGCAAGUACCAGGGGUGUUUCUUGAUUAUUGUGCAAUGUAUUUUGGGGUUUAAAAUAAAAUAGUACAUCUUGUGUCA
Long non-coding RNA from Macadamia integrifolia, 1298 nucleotides. RefSeq lists it as uncharacterized. Lineage: Eukaryota; Viridiplantae; Streptophyta; Magnoliopsida; Proteales; Proteaceae. The record is from RefSeq and is a predicted model, not a curated record. The transcript is spliced from 2 exons.